RNAcentral lists this ribosomal RNA (305 nucleotides) under uncultured bacterium. RNAcentral's name for it is "bacterial SSU rRNA". It matches the Rfam family "Bacterial small subunit ribosomal RNA", at positions 333 to 635 of the family's 1533-position model. The record is from RNAcentral.
UCAAGCCUACGGGGGGCAGCAGUGAGGAAUAUUGGUCAAUGGGCUUACGCCUGAACCAGCCAAGUCGCGUGAGGGAAGACUGCCCUAUGGGUUGUAAACCUCUUUUGUCAGGGAGCAACGCCGGCUACGUGUAGCCGGACUGAGAGUACCUGAAGAAAAAGCAUCGGCUAACUCCGUGCCAGCAGCCGCGGUAAUACGGAGGAUGCGAGCGUUAUCCGGAUUUAUUGGGUUUAAAGGGUGCGUAGGCGGAAUGCCAAGUCAGAUGUGAAAAUUAUGGGCUCAACCCAUAACCUGCGUCUGAACUG